RNAcentral lists this ribosomal RNA (447 nucleotides) under uncultured bacterium. Its description in RNAcentral is "bacterial SSU rRNA". It matches the Rfam family "Bacterial small subunit ribosomal RNA", at positions 329 to 792 of the family's 1533-position model. The record is from RNAcentral.
CGCCAGACUCCUACGGGAGGCAGCAGUGGGGAAUAUUGCACAAUGGGGGAAACCCUGAUGCAGCGACGCCGCGUGAGGGAAGAAGGUUUUCGGAUUGUAAACCUCUGUCCUUGGUGACGAAAGAAGACGGUAGCCAAGGAGGAAGCCACGGCUAACUACGUGCCAGCAGCCGCGGUAAUACGUAGGGGGCGAGCGUUAUCCGGAUUCACUGGGUGUAAAGGGAGCGUAGACGGCCAAGCAAGCCAGGGGUGAAAGCCCGGGGCCCAACCCCGGGACUGCCCUUGGAACUGCAUGGCUGGAGUGCGGGAGGGGCAGGCGGAAUUCCUGGUGUAGCGGUGAAAUGCGUAGAUAUCAGGAGGAACACCGGCGGCGAAGGCGGAUUGCUGGACAGUAACUGACGCUGAGGCGCGAAAGCGUGGGGAGCAAACAGGAUUAGAUACCCCCGUA